UGCUGAAGUGCCUGAUGGACGUGGCUCUCGU
Molecule: non-coding RNA, 31 nt
Filed under: Homo sapiens (human)
Lineage: Eukaryota; Metazoa; Chordata; Mammalia; Primates; Hominidae
Source: RNAcentral